This 253-nucleotide ribosomal RNA is filed under the name uncultured microorganism. Its description in RNAcentral is "partial small subunit ribosomal RNA". It matches the Rfam family "Bacterial small subunit ribosomal RNA", at positions 524 to 776 of the family's 1533-position model. The record is from RNAcentral.
GACGGAGGUGGCGAGCGUUACUCGGAUUCACUGGGCUUAGAGCGGGUGCAGGCGGCUCAGCAAGUCCGGAGUGAAAUCCCCCGGCUCAACCGGGGAAUUGCUCUGGAUACUGCUGGGCUUGAGGCAGGUAGGGGCAAGUGGAACGUUUGGUGUAGCGGUGAAAUGCGUAGAUAUCAAACGGAACGCCGGUGGUGAAGACGGCUUGCUGGGCCUGUCCUGACGCUCAGACCCGAAAGCGUGGGGAGCGAACCGG